Molecule: ribosomal RNA, 513 nt
Filed under: Vibrio parahaemolyticus
Lineage: Bacteria; Pseudomonadati; Pseudomonadota; Gammaproteobacteria; Vibrionales; Vibrionaceae
Description: partial 23S ribosomal RNA
Rfam family: Bacterial large subunit ribosomal RNA
Source: RNAcentral
GUUGUAUGGUUAAGUGACUAAGCGUACACGGUGGAUGCCUUGGCAGUCUCAGGCGAUGAAAGACGUAGUAACUUGCGAUAAGCCCAGAUUAGGUAGUAACAACCAUUUGAGUCUGGGAUUUCUGAAUGGGGAAACCCACUAGCAUAAGCUAGUAUCGUUAUGUGAAUACAUAGCAUAACGAGGCGAACCGGGGGAACUGAAACAUCUAAGUACCCCGAGGAAAAGAAAUCAACCGAGAUUCCGAAAGUAGCGGCGAGCGAAAUUGGACUAGCCCUUAAGCUUUACACGCGUUAGACGAACGGUCUGGAAAGUCCGACGAUACAGGGUGAUAGUCCCGUAGUUGACGACGUGUGUUCAGUGAAAUCGAGUAGGGCGGGACACGUGAUAUCCUGUCUGAAUAUGGGGGGACCAUCCUCCAAGGCUAAAUACUACUGACUGACCGAUAGUGAACCAGUACCGUGAGGGAAAGGCGAAAAGAACCCCUGUGAGGGGAGUGAAAUAGAACCUGAAACC